Sander lucioperca (pikeperch) is the source of this 473-nucleotide long non-coding RNA. RefSeq lists it as uncharacterized. The transcript has 4 exons. Lineage: Eukaryota; Metazoa; Chordata; Actinopteri; Perciformes; Percidae. The record is from RefSeq and is a predicted model, not a curated record.
ACUGAAGUCCAAUGAAAGUGACGUAGGAGGGCCCAUAUAAAUUUGACGUCGCUAGAUUAUGACGCUCUUCUUGGAGACGAUUCUUUAGCGGUCGCAUUCCCUUCUCAACAUGAGGGCGAAGUGGAGAAAGAAGCGCAUGCGCAGGCUGAAGCGUAAAAGGAGAAAGAUGAGGCAGAGGUCCAAGUAAACCGUUUUGUCCGCCAUGGCUGUGAAGGCACAUUGUUGCCAGCAAACCAGGCCGGCGAGCACAGCUGAAGGACCAGGACCCUCCCGUUGUCAAGUCUGUCAGUGGUGCCCAUUUCAACGUGAGGCAACAGCGCUGCAGCAGCAGAUUGAUGCUGGAGAGCUGAUUCAGGACCUGCUGAAUGACAGACUUUUUUUUCGGGACAUACUGGACUCAUUGUUCUUAAUUCCUCAACUUUUGUCUUUUGUUUAUACUGUGAUUAAAGGUUUUGGUUUCUAAAUAAACUGCA